Molecule: ribosomal RNA, 253 nt
Filed under: uncultured bacterium
Lineage: Bacteria
Description: partial 16S ribosomal RNA
Rfam family: Bacterial small subunit ribosomal RNA
Source: RNAcentral
UACGUAGGGUGCAAGCGUUGUCCGGAAUUAUUGGUCGUAAAGAGCUCGUAGGCGGUUUGUCGCGUCGGCUGUGAAAACUCGGGGCUCAACUCCGAGCUUGCAGUCGAUACGGGCAGACUAGAGUUCGGCAGGGGAGACUGGAAUUCCUGGUGUAGCGGUGAAAUGCGCAGAUAUCAGGAGGAACACCGGUGGCGAAGGCGGGUCUCUGGGCCGAUACUGACGCUGAGGAGCGAAAGCGUGGGGAGCGAACAGG